This 45-nucleotide non-coding RNA is filed under the name Schistosoma haematobium. Lineage: Eukaryota; Metazoa; Platyhelminthes; Trematoda; Strigeidida; Schistosomatidae. The record is from RNAcentral.
AUCCAGCUGGCGAGUCCCAAACGGGACGAAACGUUCGUCCUGAAU